Molecule: ribosomal RNA, 251 nt
Filed under: uncultured prokaryote
Description: partial 16S rRNA
Rfam family: Bacterial small subunit ribosomal RNA
Source: RNAcentral
ACGUAGGUGGCGAGCGUUGUCCGGAAUCACUGGGCGUAAAGGGCGCGUAGGCGGUUUUGCAAGUCGCAUGUGAAAGACCAGGGCUUAACCUUGGGAGGUCAUGCGAAACUGCAGGACUUGAGUGCAGUAGAGGUAAGCGGAAUUCCUGGUGUAGCGGUAAAAUGCGUAGAGAUCAGGAGGAACACCGGUGGCGAAGGCGGCUUACUGGGCUGCAACUGACGCUGAGGCGCGAAAGCGUGGGGAGCAAACAG